CCCUGGUUAGCUCAGUUGGUAGAGCGCUCCACUGGAAAUGGAGAGGUCCCAAGUUCGAUUCCCGGAUCAGGCG
Ixodes scapularis (black-legged tick) is the source of this 73-nucleotide non-coding RNA. Lineage: Eukaryota; Metazoa; Arthropoda; Arachnida; Ixodida; Ixodidae. The record is from Rfam.